This 74-nucleotide transfer RNA is filed under the name Trichomalopsis sarcophagae. Its description in RNAcentral is "tRNA-OTHER". It matches the Rfam family "tRNA". From Rfam's summary of the family: Transfer RNA (tRNA) molecules are approximately 80 nucleotides in length. Their secondary structure includes four short double-helical elements and three loops (D, anti-codon, and T loops). Lineage: Eukaryota; Metazoa; Arthropoda; Insecta; Hymenoptera; Pteromalidae. The record is from RNAcentral.
GUAGACGUUAGCUCAAUAGUUAGAGCACAGGCCUCUGGCUCUCGGGUCCGCGAGUUCGAGUCCCGUCGUCUACU